AUGCGACCUCAAAUCAAGCGAGACUGCCCAUUCCUU
Molecule: ribosomal RNA, 36 nt
Filed under: Mychonastes homosphaera
Lineage: Eukaryota; Viridiplantae; Chlorophyta; Chlorophyceae; Sphaeropleales; Mychonastaceae
Description: partial 28S ribosomal RNA
Source: RNAcentral